GCGAAUCGGAUGCCAACUUCAGCGUCGUCAGUGUGCUUGCGUGUGCGUGUGCGUGUGUGCAACCCCAAGAAGGGCCGUCGUGCAGAGCGUACGGUGCUCACCUGCUCGAUGGACCGCUUGGGAACCCUCUUCUGCAACCACUCAUAGUCGAUGUCCGGCUCGACGCGACGGUGCCGCUUGAGCCACUCGAGGCCCUUCAGCAACCUGCGCUGCUCGGUGACCCCCCAGGAGUGCUUUGGGGCCGGGAGAUGGAGCUUCUGACGCAGGAGGGGGACUUGCAGACCAGCAGAUUGUUCGGACCUGGGCUCUCAACUCUGUGGGUCUGCCCAGCAGCUGACAUUGCAGCAGGGAGCGUCUGGGGGGGAGAUAUUUUGGAAUAUCAGCUGGAAGAACAGUUGUUCUACUGCACACGUGUUCCUCGAACCACAGCGUAAUAAAAAUAUACUAC
This is a long non-coding RNA of Gadus morhua (Atlantic cod), 448 nucleotides long. RefSeq lists it as uncharacterized. The record is from RefSeq and is a predicted model, not a curated record. Lineage: Eukaryota; Metazoa; Chordata; Actinopteri; Gadiformes; Gadidae. The transcript has 2 exons.